RNAcentral lists this long non-coding RNA (586 nucleotides) under Rattus norvegicus (Norway rat). Its description in RNAcentral is "long non-coding RNA NONRATT016059". Lineage: Eukaryota; Metazoa; Chordata; Mammalia; Rodentia; Muridae. The record is from RNAcentral.
CUGAGAUGACACCUCAGGCUGCAGCUAAGGAGUUAGAAGAAGUAAUGAAGCGAGUGCGGGAGGCUCAGUCAUUUAUCUCAGCAGCCAUUGAACCAGGGUGGCUGCACUCAACGAGUUUAUGCAAUGACUUUCUUGGAUGUUUCUGAAGGAUAAUUGCACAGGAGGAGGAUGUACAGAGAGUAGGCCCCUUGCACUAUAUGUGGUAUAUUCCACUUGUGCCUAAUUAUUAACUGGGAUCUUUAAUUGUUCUGAGCUUACGCUGCAAAGUGGUUUUUUCCUCCCAGAGUCUGGAAAGAGCAAUGAAAGGAAAGGCGGUCGAUCUCGUUCUCACACUCGCUCAAAGUCCAGGUCUAGCUCAAAGUCCCAUUCUAGAAGGAAGAGAUCGCAGUCAAAGCACAGGAGUAGAUCCCAUAACAGGUCACGUUCAAGACAGAAAGAUAGACGUAGAUCCAAGAGCCCACAUAAGAAACGCUCUAAGUCUAGGGAGAGGCGGAAGUCAAGGAGCCGGUCGCGGUCACGGGACAAGAGAAAAGAUACCCGGGAAAAGGUGAAGGAAAGAGUGAAGGAGAGAGAAAGGGAAAAGGAA